AGUGAACGCUGGCGGCAGGCCUAACACAUGCAAGUCGAACGGCAGCACAAGAGAGCUUGCUCUCUGGGUGGCGAGUGGCGGACGGGUGAGGAAUGCAUCGGAAUCUGCCCAUUUGUGGGGGAUAACCUCGGGAAACCGGGACUAAUACCGCAUACGACCUACGGGUGAAAGCACGGGAUCUUCGGACCUUGCGCAGAUGUAUGUGCCGAUGCCGGAUUAGCUAGUUGGAGGGGUAAAGGCCCACCAAGGCGACGAUCCGUAGCUGGUCUGAGAGGAUGAUCAGCCACACUGGGACUGAGACACGGCCCAGACUCCUACGGGAGGCAGCAGUGGGGAAUAUUGGACAAUGGGCGCAAGCCUGAUCCAGCCAUGCCGCGUGUGUGAAGAAGGCCUUCGGGUUGUAAAGCACUUUUGUUGGGAAAGAAAAGCAGCCGGUUAAUACCCGGUUGUCAUGACGGUACCCAAAGAAUAAGCACCGGCUAACUUCGUG
Molecule: ribosomal RNA, 490 nt
Filed under: uncultured bacterium
Lineage: Bacteria
Description: partial 16S ribosomal RNA
Rfam family: Bacterial small subunit ribosomal RNA
Source: RNAcentral